Long non-coding RNA from Pyrus x bretschneideri (Chinese white pear), 1061 nucleotides. RefSeq lists it as uncharacterized. Lineage: Eukaryota; Viridiplantae; Streptophyta; Magnoliopsida; Rosales; Rosaceae. The record is from RefSeq and is a predicted model, not a curated record. The transcript is spliced from 2 exons.
UUAACGGGAUCAAAAUGUAAAGAACCUCACUCUUUACAUUUCUCUACUCAAUGGGAAGAGAAAUUUAUUAAAAGUUGAAUAGAAACGUUUACAUCUCUUCUACAAAUGAGACAGAUGAGCGGGAAUAUAUUAACUUUCAUGUGUUAUGUAUAGACACCACUGAUUAAUCCCUUGUACGGUGCACUAAGACAAUAAAAUAUGGUUAUUGGUCGCAUGGUUUUAUCAUUUUCUGAGCCAGGAUGCUUAUCAAAAGGUCAAUUUUCCAAAGGGUUUUGUGCGUUAAGAUCAAGGGACUUCCUAGGUGGGCGUGUGUGGGUGUACUGUAUUCGUGGCCAACUUUGCUGGGUGAAGUCUGGUGACGAAAAAUCUCAAAUCCAUUUUAAAAUCUACUCUAAGUUUGGGCUCCGAUAUUUCAGAAUCAGCUCAAAUUCUUCUUGGUGAUUUUUAUCUACAAACUUAGGCCUGUGGUGGGUAUAUUGAAGCUGCUCUUGGAAUUGAGGUGAUUUUAAAAAAAUAGUUGUCAAAAUAAGUUGGAGGUGUUUUUGAUGUAUGGCAAACACUUCAAAACAACUUUAUUUCAAAAUUCAGAUGAAAAAAGCUAAAAUAAAUAAGCUGCAAAAAGCAGCUUUAGAAAACAACUUCUGGUUGAAAACACGGAGCUACAGUAACCUUUUUAAUGAAAUUUUCAAUUUACCAACCUUGCCCUCCCUUUUCUCCUGCCUUCGCCCUGGUUUUUCCUCACACUUUCAGAUCCCUCGCAUGCCCUCUCUAUCAAAACCCUUUCAGACUCUCUCACACACCGCCGUCGCCUUCACUCCUUCCUCUGUGUCAAGUGAAGUAGACAUGCCAGACCUUUCAAUGGAUAUCGUUGCCAAUAUACUCUCGCGACUUCCUCUUAGCUCCUACUGACUGAUUCAUUGAAUCUGGGAAAACGAUAUCAUGGGAUGUAACUGUACAAGUAAUCAUCUGCAUGCAUUAAUAAUCUGUUUGUGUGUGUAGUCACUUUGUACAGGAUAGAGCCUAUUAAAAGAGCCUUUUAAAAGAGCCUUUCACAGAGAAAA